GACGAACGCUGGCGGCGUGCCUAAUACAUGCAAGUCGAACGCUGAAGAGAGGAGCUUGCUCUUCUUGGAUGAGUUGCGCACGGGUGAGUAACGCGUAGGUAACCUGCCUUGUAGCGGGGGAUAACUAUUGGAAACGAUAGCUAAUCCCGCAUAACAAUGGAUGACCCAUGUCAUUUAUUUGAAAGGGGCCAGUGCUCCACUACAAGAUGGACCUUCGUUGUAUUAGGUAGUAGGUGAGGUAACGGCGCACCUAGGCGACGCUACGUAGCCGACCUGAGAGGGGGAUUAGCCGACCUGGGAGGGAGACAGGGCACAGAGGGCCACAGGAAGGAGCAGGAGGGAAACGGGAGGAAGGGGGGGAAACCUGAGCGAGCAACGCCGCAGGAGUGAAGAAGGAUGUCGGGUGGGAAAGGACGGUUGUAGGGCAAGAACGAGCGUGAGAGUGGAAAGUACACAGUGUGACGGUAGCUGAUCAGAAAGCACCGGCUAACUACGUG
Molecule: ribosomal RNA, 497 nt
Filed under: uncultured bacterium
Lineage: Bacteria
Description: partial 16S ribosomal RNA
Rfam family: Bacterial small subunit ribosomal RNA
Source: RNAcentral